Raphanus sativus (radish) is the source of this 81-nucleotide small nucleolar RNA. NCBI's taxonomy places the organism in Eukaryota, Viridiplantae, Streptophyta, Magnoliopsida, Brassicales, Brassicaceae. The record is from RefSeq and is a predicted model, not a curated record.
CAGAAUGAUGAAAACCGGGAGAGGGUGCACCAGAUUGACCAGUAUAGGAAGAAGCAAAAGAUCUUCCCGAACCAUCCGGUA